GCAGUCAUCACAUGGUAGAAGUCUGUUAAGGUGAUCAUUUUUUGUGUGUCAACAAGCCUCUCAGAAAGAUGAUAGAAGCAGAAGAGAGUGAGGGAAGGAAUAUAUAGGAAGGUUGAAGUGGCAGGUUUUGGAGAGUUUGAGUUGGAGUUGGUGGUGAUGAUGAUGAUUAUGAAGAUUGAAAAGAUUUUAUAUAGGGAUGUGGAAGAGCAUGUGGUUUUGGGGCAGUGAGUGAGUGAAUGGUGCUAAUGUGCAGCAGAGAAUACAGCAAAUAUUUUUUCAGCUUUGAGAGCUGCAAGCAAGGUUGCACUUGCAGUCUCCAAAGCACAAGGCAGAGUGGGGGGAGUUUUGUUGCCUUUUUAUUUAGUUUUUUUUUCGUAGUUUUGUUUUUUUUUUCUUUUUUUGAAGUGUGUUUGGAUUUGGGGUUUGGGAAGGGAUUUGAUGGCUUUGGAAACUUGGGUGGGUGGGUGUGUGAGGCUCUCUCCCUCCCUACCUUCUAUUCUAUGGGUCCUAAAUUUGUCACAAAAAGCUUAGGAAAAGUAUUUUGGGUUGAGGUGGGAAUGUCUCCAAGAACACUUGUUUUGGGGGAGUGCUUUAAGCUUUGUAAAGGGACUCUUUCUCUCUGGAUCCACGGUUUCUUUAUGAAGGGUUUUAAGAUAAAAAGAAACAUAUAUAGAAGAAAAAAAAUUGUGUUGUUUAAUCAUACUAGUUGAGCAUAAUAUGUCUGUUUGAAUAAUUAUGUCUAGUUCAAUAUUGUGUCUGUUGAAAGAUUCAAAUCUACUGGGUUUUUUUUUCCUUUGUUUUUCUAGUUAGCAAUAACAAAUAGAUUUGGAAUUUGAAAUUUGCGAUGUUGAAAUUUGGAAUUGAAAAAAAAUAGAUUUAACUUGCAUAUUUAUUAAAUAAGUUUAGUUUUG
Molecule: long non-coding RNA, 911 nt
Filed under: Glycine max (soybean)
Lineage: Eukaryota; Viridiplantae; Streptophyta; Magnoliopsida; Fabales; Fabaceae
Description: long non-coding RNA (GMAX_LNC002040)
Source: RNAcentral